RNAcentral lists this non-coding RNA (21 nucleotides) under Caenorhabditis elegans. Lineage: Eukaryota; Metazoa; Nematoda; Chromadorea; Rhabditida; Rhabditidae. The record is from RNAcentral.
UUGGUCGAAAAUGGCGAGGUC